Molecule: long non-coding RNA, 868 nt
Organism: Diachasma alloeum
Lineage: Eukaryota; Metazoa; Arthropoda; Insecta; Hymenoptera; Braconidae
Exons: 4
Source: RefSeq, a predicted model, not a curated record
CUGUCAUUCUUGGUUAGCUGGGUGGUAAGAGUCAAUAAUUACACUGAGCGACAAUUAAAAGGAUGGAAUUAACCGAAAAUGAGAACGCCUUUAUUGGCACAAAUCGUAGUAGAUCAAAUGGGACCUCACGAAGAGAAGAGUGAAAAUCAAAUCGAUUUGUUAAAAAAUGAUGCUUUUUGGGAGUGUGUGGAAGUUGAAUUUAAUCAGCAGUCAUCAGGGCAGGCACGAAGUGGCAAAGUGUUGAAACAGAGAUGGGAUCACGUCUACUCAGAUCUAGAUCAUCACCAUUCUUCUACUUCAACCAAUGAAUCCAACCCCCUGCAUUCAAGUGUGUAUUUUUAUUAUUAUUUUUUUCAAGUCAGGAAUAUCUAAAAAUAUUCUUUAAGACUUUUAAUACAUGCAAACCAUGGUUCUUCUGUAAUGACUGAUCGCGGAUAUAAUCAAUUGAAGGUAUAUAACUGGGAUGGUACGCUCAGGCCAACUUCUCCCACAUUACUUGCUUCUCAGCCCACGACCCCAAAGAGCAACAGUUCAACAAGGAAUGAACUCCCACCCAGCAUCUGAUCAAAAGAAAUAUCACAAAAUCAAACAUUAACAAACUGAAAGAAAGGAUUCUAAAAUGUCGUUUGAAGAGAGAAGAAAACGAAAUAAAAAUAUCGAAUCUGAGACUAAAAAUCCAGCAGCACAAACUCGAGCAACUCGAACAAAAAGAAAAUCUUUUUCGAUAGAUUAAAAAUAAUGAUACUUAUGAUAUGGAAAAGAAAAAGAUGGAUCUCGAUGGAUAAGGAAAAGAAAUUAAGAAAACAAGACAUUCUCAGAUAAACAGAGCAACUUUCAGUACGUGUUGAAUGAGAGAAUAAUAUAAAAU